CCUACGGGGGGCUGCAGUGGGGAAUAUUGCGCAAUGGGGGAAACCCUGACGCAGCGACGCCGCGUGAGCGAAGAAGGCCUUAGGGUUGUAAAGCUCUGUUUUAAGGGACGAAUAACCUUAGUAGUAACUGACUAAGGAAUGACGGUACCUUAAGAGAAAGCCCCGGCUAACUACGUGCCAGCAGCCGCGGUAAGACGUAGGGGGCGAGCGUUGUCCGGAAUUACUGGGCGUAAAGAGCACGUAGGCGGGAUUUUAAGUCAGGUGUGAAAGACCGUGGCUCAACCACGGGGUUGCACAUGAAACUGGAAUUCUUGAGGGCAGGAGAGGAAAGUGGAAUUCCUGGUGUAGCGGUGAAAUGCGUAGAAAUCAGGAGGAACACCGGUGGCGAAGGCGACUUUCUGGACUGAUCCUGACGCUGAGGUGCGAAAGCGUGGGUAGCAAACAGGAUUAGAUACCCCGGUAGUC
RNAcentral lists this ribosomal RNA (465 nucleotides) under uncultured Syntrophomonas sp. Its description in RNAcentral is "bacterial SSU rRNA". It matches the Rfam family "Bacterial small subunit ribosomal RNA", at positions 338 to 795 of the family's 1533-position model. The record is from RNAcentral. Lineage: Bacteria; Bacillati; Bacillota; Clostridia; Eubacteriales; Syntrophomonadaceae.